RNAcentral lists this ribosomal RNA (439 nucleotides) under uncultured bacterium. RNAcentral describes it as "partial 16S ribosomal RNA". It matches the Rfam family "Bacterial small subunit ribosomal RNA", at positions 339 to 795 of the family's 1533-position model. The record is from RNAcentral.
CUACGGGCAGCUCCAGUGGGGAAUAUUGCACAAUGGAGGAAACUCUGAUGCAGCAACGCCGCGUGGAGGAUGACACUUUUCGGAGCGUAAACUCCUUUUAUAUAGGAAGAAGAUGACGGUACUAUAUGAAUAAGCGCCGGCUAACUCCGUGCCAGCAGCCGCAGUAAUACGGAGGGCGCAAGCGUUACUCGGAAUCACUGGGCGUAAAGAGCGUGUAGGCGGAUUAAAAAGUCAGAAGUGAAAUCCUAUAGCUUAACUAUAGAACUGCUUCUGAAACUCUUAAUCUAGAAUAUGGGAGAGGUAGAUGGAAUUUCUGGUGUAGGGGUAAAAUCCGUAGAGAUCAGAAGGAAUACCGAUUGCGAAGGCGAUCUACUAGAACAUUAUUGACGCUGAGACGCGAAAGCGUGGGGAGCAAACAGGAUUAGAUACCCUCGUAGUC